GAGAAAGAAGCAUAAUUGGUCUAAUGCGGUUGGCUUGAAACCAAUGUAUGAGGGUUCGAUUCCUUCCUUUCUUG
RNAcentral lists this transfer RNA (74 nucleotides) under Sula sula rubripes. RNAcentral's name for it is "tRNA-Ser". It matches the Rfam family "tRNA". Rfam says of the family: Transfer RNA (tRNA) molecules are approximately 80 nucleotides in length. Their secondary structure includes four short double-helical elements and three loops (D, anti-codon, and T loops). Further hydrogen bonds mediate the characteristic L-shaped molecular structure. tRNAs have two regions of fundamental functional importance: the anti-codon, which is responsible for specific mRNA codon recognition, and the 3' end, to which the tRNAs corresponding amino acid is attached (by aminoacyl-tRNA synthetases). tRNAs cope with the degeneracy of the genetic code in two manners: having more than one tRNA (with a specific anti-codon) for a particular amino acid; and 'wobble' base-pairing, i.e. permitting non-standard base-pairing at the 3rd anti-codon position. Lineage: Eukaryota; Metazoa; Chordata; Aves; Suliformes; Sulidae. The record is from RNAcentral.